Molecule: ribosomal RNA, 400 nt
Filed under: uncultured bacterium
Lineage: Bacteria
Description: bacterial SSU rRNA
Rfam family: Bacterial small subunit ribosomal RNA
Source: RNAcentral
UGGGGAAUAUUGGACAAUGGGGGAAACCCUGAUCCAGCAAUGCCGCGUGGGUGAAGACGGCCUGCGGGUUGUAAAGCCCUUUAGGCGGGGAGGAAAGGCAUCGUGUAAAUAAUGCGAUGCUCUGACGUUACCCGCAGAAUAAGCACCGGCUAACUCCGUGCCAGCAGCCGCGGUAAUACGGAGGGUGCGAGCGUUAAUCGGAAUUACUGGGCGUAAAGCGUGCGUAGGCGGUUUGGUCAGUCAGCCGUGAAAGCCCCGGGCUUAACCUGGGAACGGCGGUUGAGACGGCCAGACUAGAGUGGGCUAGAGGAUCGUGGAAUUCCGGGUGUAGCGGUGAAAUGCGUAGAGAUCCGGAGGAACACCGAUGGCGAAGGCAGCGGUCUGGGGCCACACUGACGCU